GGCCCAUUAGCUCAGUUGGAGCGUCGUGCUAAUACCGCGAAGGUCGCGGGUUCGAUCCCCUCAUGGGCCA
RNAcentral lists this transfer RNA (70 nucleotides) under Homalodisca vitripennis (glassy-winged sharpshooter). RNAcentral describes it as "tRNA-Ile". It matches the Rfam family "tRNA". Rfam says of the family: Transfer RNA (tRNA) molecules are approximately 80 nucleotides in length. Lineage: Eukaryota; Metazoa; Arthropoda; Insecta; Hemiptera; Cicadellidae. The record is from RNAcentral.